CUUGCUUUUGAUGGGCGUCGACCGGCGCACGGGUGAGUAACGCGUAUCCAACCUGCCCACCACUUGGGGACAACAGACGGAAACGACUGCUAAUACCGAAUAAGUUCCAAGAGCCGCAUGGCCCAUGGAAGAAAAGGUGGCCUCUACCUGUAAGCUAUCGCCUGAAGAGGGGUUUGUGUCUGAUUAGCUGGUUGGAGGGGUAACGGCCCACCAAGGCGACGAUCAGUAGCCGGUCUGAGAGGGUGACCGGCCACAUUGGGACUGAGAUACGGCCCAGACUCC
This 282-nucleotide ribosomal RNA is filed under the name uncultured Dialister sp. RNAcentral's name for it is "partial 16S ribosomal RNA". It matches the Rfam family "Bacterial small subunit ribosomal RNA", at positions 74 to 339 of the family's 1533-position model. Lineage: Bacteria; Bacillati; Bacillota; Negativicutes; Veillonellales; Veillonellaceae. The record is from RNAcentral.